RNAcentral lists this transfer RNA (57 nucleotides) under Loxodonta africana (African savanna elephant). It matches the Rfam family "tRNA", at positions 8 to 63 of the family's 71-position model. Rfam says of the family: Transfer RNA (tRNA) molecules are approximately 80 nucleotides in length. Their secondary structure includes four short double-helical elements and three loops (D, anti-codon, and T loops). Lineage: Eukaryota; Metazoa; Chordata; Mammalia; Proboscidea; Elephantidae. The record is from Rfam by way of RNAcentral.
UGGCAUAACGGUUAAGCAUUUGGCUGCUAACUAAAAGGUUGGUAGUUCGAAUCCACC